Molecule: long non-coding RNA, 3992 nt
Filed under: Sus scrofa (pig)
Lineage: Eukaryota; Metazoa; Chordata; Mammalia; Artiodactyla; Suidae
Description: lncRNA (ENSSSCG00000062970.1)
Source: RNAcentral
AAAGAAAGAAAAAAGAAAUAAGUCUUGAAGAAGACUAAUAUUGCCAACACAAUUUAACUGCCAUUUGUACCAGUGUUUAGAUUUUUUUCACGUUCCCACAUUGUAUAUUUUUACCUAUUGCAAUCGGAACAAUAUGAUCUACAUCAUUUUCGUUUCUUCAUUUUCGUAAGGUCUUCUUUUGAGGAGCGUAGACUUUUAAGAUAGAAAUCAGUAUCGUGUUUGCUUUAUAGAUUUUUAUGACACUGAACAAAUGAUAAUUGUAAAAUUUAAGCUGUGUUGUAAAAUAUCCAUAAAAUGAACUAAAAGAUAGGAAAUGACAUUUCUUCUUCCAGUUUGCUCCCCAUUUAAUCACUUUACAGUGUGGUAGCUAUCUUUCUACAGAUUUGGAAUGGAUCUUGUAAUAGCAUGGAUAAAAAUUCCAUGUGCAAAUAAGUCCAAAUAAUCCUCUUUGGGAGUUAAAAAAAAUUCAUGUAUAAUAUAUACAUCUAAAAUAACUUGUAAGUUAUUGUUUUAGUUUUUAACACACGAUGGUAGAGAAUGAAACUGUUACCCCACCAUUGUAACUAUAUCAAUAGAUAAAAUAGUAAGGUGCCUGUCUCCAAAAAGGCAAUCAGUACAUAUUUUUGGAUAAAUGAAUGAGAUCCUCAUUGAGACUUUCUGGGCAUAUAGGAUAAAAUAAAGAAAAUUAUUGAAGUUACUUAAUAGUUGAAAAACAUUUCCAGAUAGCCAAAAUUACCUCAAGUGCUAAUGGUACUUUGUGACAUGCUAAGUACGCCAUUGCUGGAAGUAUUUAAGAAAAUGUUGUAUGGACAUCUUUCAGUAAUGCCUGUGUUAGGUGUGUACAUAGAUUUAUAAUAGGCUCUGGUUCUACAAAAUAAUCAACCAAAAUAGCAGGUAAGCAAGUAGUCCAUCAUUCCUUCUGUAUCUUACCAUUAAAUUAGGAAAAGUUUAAGGAUCAGAGUUUUGUUUUUGUUUUUUAAGUUAGCGAGAGCAUUGUUUCCCGAAGUGUGUCUUGUGGAACAUUACCUGUGAGAUACUCUGAGAAAAAGUUCCCUCGAUCAUAUUCAUUCUCAGAUUCUCCAUACUACGAAUAUUCUUUCUCAGGUACCUGUAAUGCAUAUUAAUAUAUUGAAAGAGCUAUUUGACAAAGAUACCCCUUUUUCCAGUUAUCCCCAUUAUCCUGAAAAACCAGUGUUUCAGGGAAAUACAGUGUUCUAUAGAACAGAACCCAUUUUGUCCAAAAUGAUCUACAGACAAGCAGCAGUCUAAGGGAACAUCUGUUUUUAGCUGGUUCUUUAACUUAUACAUGGUCCAGAGAUUCUCCAGACUAGGAGUGACUGACCAUAUUCUUAGAACCAAACCACCUGAAUUCUAUAUUCUCUCACUCCCUUACCUCUACCUCUUUUCCUUGUCAGAGCACAGUGCCCUCCUACUCUACUGACUCUCCUGUGCGCUUCUUACUUCCAUUCCUAUCCAAAGAAACGGGACCCCAUUUACUCAGGCAAUGAUCUUUUAUUGGUCGCUCACUAGAUGCCAGAUCUUCUGCCGAGCACUGGGGUGUAGCAGUGAGCCAAACAAACAUGGCCCUUACUGUGUUCUCUCUUCUGUGCUUCACCCCAGGAGGAAGAACCCCAAAGUCUCAUGUGCCAAAGCUUAACUCUCUAGCACUUGAGCUCUCUAUGUCCUGGGUUUGGAAGCAACUCGAGGACCUUAGGGUAGUGGCUGAAAGGGACAGAGGAAAGAACUUGUAGAUGACCACAUGACAAAGAACAGUUACAGGCUGUAGUGGGGGAAGAAGCACAGGAACUGUUGGGAGUCAAAUCAUUAUUUUUGUUAUUUUCAUUUUAUGAUUAAAAGAAUGAAACUGGGUAUCUUAUCAAAGAAAACUAUCAACAUUGUUGCUGAAUAGGAAUACUGGGGGUUGUUCAGAGCUAGGAGAAACAAAGCUAAGAAUUGGUUUGACCAGUUUAAAGAGCAGUGUUUAUGGUAGUUAUUUGUAUGAAGUGUUCAAUUAUACUGUAGCACUAGGUGUGUUCAUCUCUCAUGAUUUUGUCUUUGUGUUACAAGGUUGUCAGCUAAUAGAAGGUUGAUUUUUAGAGCUUAAAAGGACCUUGAAGAGAUUACAUGGCAGAGCCUGCUCACAAUUUAAAAUUUGGAGGAAGAAGCCUAAGGCAUCUGGGAGUAGUAACCUUAUUAGGCUUUCACUUUGGAUUUUUCUAGUAGCUUCCGAAGGUAGGUGCUUAAGUCAAUGCUGCUAUUAUAUUCACAGGAUUUUGUUAAGCUCUCAAGGAGGUGUAGAUUCAGAAGGAACUGGAAAAAUCUUUUAAAAAUAUUCUUGAUACAGAGCCUUUGAGGGAGAUGCAAAUGUGUUUUGAAUGUUAAAUUUACUUAGAUUUAAAAAUACAUAUCUUCAAGCAAAGUUGCCAUGACAACCUUUCUUAAUGUGUGUAUAAAAUUUAUGUCUGUCUCUUUGAGGUUUUCAUCUUUCCCAAUACAAGGUUUAAUCACAAGAAUGGGCACUGUGAUAUAUUUCUAUCUAGAUAGUGCCUUGUGGGAGUUAUAUAAUUUUGGAAAAUGAAAAUCAAGAACUAGAACAGUCUUUAUCAUGGUGAGCCCACUAAGGUAAAUGUCAUCUUGUUCUCUCCGUGAUCGGAGUUUGAUCUGGUUUCAAACCCAAGGUGAAAUUCUGGAUUGAAGUAGAACCAUGAGUCUAUUCUGAGUUUCUGUUUUUUCAUAUUUAGAGGAUCUGGUAGGAAGGCCCUAGGAAGUUGGGGAAAUUCUGGACUGAAUCUUUUGGAUAGUCCUCAAACUGAUCCAGUCUUCUUGGGAUCAUCUAAAGCUUAUCCACAGUUGAUGUCUAGGCUAACUCAGAACCACAAGAGAAGGCUCUACAAUGGCCAGGCAUGUGCACAGAGACACCCCAGAGGCUCCUUUUGGUCCGAACUCCAAUCCAGCAAUGCUAGAGAGAUGCCAUAAUCAGACCUGUUCACUUCCCAUACUCUUGGUCUGGCUCUCUUUUGCACAUCAUAGGAUUUUGGAGACCCAAAGUUUAGGAGGAAGGAACUCUCAACCUUGACUCUGGAGAUGUGAAUUUAUUAAGCAGUGGAAUAAAGGAGUAGUCACUAGUACCUUUUACUAACAGUAUCUAUGACUUGAAUUUAAGAACUCAACGUGGCUGCCUGAGAUUUUGAGAUGCUUGCUAAAGAGCUAUGUUUGUUUGUGUUUUAUAUUUUAGUUCCUCUGGGGUACAGUCUUUUUAAAAUUAACAUUUUGUUAUAAUUUAAGAAUCCUUAGAGAUAAUUAAGUUGAGGUUAGGAGUAUGAUCUAUUACUGUGCUUGCUUUGAUAUUCUUUGUCCUAAUAGACUUUGUAAAACUAUGUUACAUUUAAGAGAAUCCAUGAAUCCAUUAGAAUCGGAUUCUAAUCUAAUCCGAUUAUAAUGGGGGGAAAUUAGGAGUUCCCUAGUGGUGCAGCAGGUUAAGGAUCCAGCAUUGUCACUGCUGUGGCUUGGUCACUGCUGCGGCAUGAGUCUGAUCCCUGGCCCAGGAACUUCCCCAUGCUGUGGGCAUGCCCCUUCUGCCCAGGAAAAAUUAAAAAAUAAAAAAUAAAGGGGAAAUUAAAGCUGAGAGAGGUUAUUUAUUAUGGGAGAUUGCCCAGGCUCAUAGAGGUUUUGUUUUUUAUUCAGAAUGUGAUUUCCUUUUGCUUUCAUCUUAUUCUCUAAAGGAUGAGUUUAAAACCAAGGAAAGGGCCCCUAAGCAAAAAGAACUGCCUAGGGAGUUCCCAUCGUGGCUCAGUGGUUAACGAACCCGACUAGCAUCCAUGAGGACUCGGGUUCAAUCCCUGGCCUCAUUCAGUGAGUUAAGCAUCUGGUGUUGCCAUGAGCUGUGGUGUAGGUCGCAGACUCAGCUCGGAUUCCGAGUUGCUGUGGCUGUGGCUGUGGCCGGCAGCUGUAGCUCCGAUUGGACCCCUAGCCUGGGAACCUCCAUUUGCCGC